AGGCAGCAGUUAGGAAUAUUGGACAAUGCUCGCAAGAGUGAUCCAGCCAUGCCGCGUGCAGGAAGACGGCCCUAUGGGUUGUAAACUGCUUUUGAACUAGAGAAAACCCUCCUACGUGUAGGAGGCUGAUAGUAUAGCUAGAAUAAGCAUCGGCUAACUUCGUGCCAGCAGCCGCGGUAAGACGAAGGAUGCAAGCGUUAUCCGGAUUCAUUGGGUUUAAAGGGAGCGUAGGUGGACUGAUAAGUCAGUGGUGAAAUCUCUCGGCUUAACCGAGAAAUUGCCAUUGAUACUGUUGGUCUUGAGUACAGUUGCUGUGGGCGGAGUAUGACAUGUAGUGGUGAAAUACAUAGAGAUGUCAUAGAACACCGAUUGCGAAGGCAGCUCACAAAGCUGUAACUGACACUGAGGCUCGAAAGUGCGGGGAUCAAACAGGAUUAGAUACCCUAGUAGUCC
Molecule: ribosomal RNA, 453 nt
Filed under: uncultured bacterium
Lineage: Bacteria
Description: bacterial SSU rRNA
Rfam family: Bacterial small subunit ribosomal RNA
Source: RNAcentral